CACCGGCAGCUCGAGUGGUAUCCACGUAUAUUGGGCCUAAAGAGUCCGUAGCUGGCCUGCUAAGUUCUCUGUGAAAUCUUCGGGCUCAACUCGAAGGAGUGCAGAGAAUACUGGCGGGCUUGGGAGCGGGGGAGGCCAAGAGUACUCACGGGGUAGGGGUAAAAUCCGUUAAUCCUGUGAGGACUCCCAGUGGCGAAGGCGCUUGGCCAAAACGCGUCCGACAGUGAGGGACGAAGGCUAGGAGAACGAAUCGG
Molecule: ribosomal RNA, 254 nt
Filed under: uncultured archaeon
Lineage: Archaea
Description: partial 16S ribosomal RNA
Rfam family: Archaeal small subunit ribosomal RNA
Source: RNAcentral